RNAcentral lists this ribosomal RNA (497 nucleotides) under uncultured bacterium. RNAcentral's name for it is "partial 16S ribosomal RNA". It matches the Rfam family "Bacterial small subunit ribosomal RNA", at positions 28 to 507 of the family's 1533-position model. The record is from RNAcentral.
GAUGAACGCUGGCGGCGUGCCUAAUACAUGCAAGUCGAGCGAACAGAUAAGGAGCUUGCUCCUUUGACGUUAGCGGCGGACGGGUGAGUAACACGUGGGUAACCUACCUAUAAGACUGGGAUAACUUCGGGAAACCGGAGCUAAUACCGGAUAACAUUUGGAACCGCAUGGUUCUAAAGUGAAAGAUGGUUUUGCUAUCACUUAUAGAUGGACCCGCGCCGUAUUAGCUAGUUGGUAAGGUAACGGCUUACCAAGGCAACGAUACGUAGCCGACCUGAGAGGGUGAUCGGCCACACUGGAACUGAGACAGGGUCCAGACUCCUACGGGAGGCAGCAGUAGGGAAUCUUCCGCAAUGGGCGAAAGCCUGACGGAGCAACGCCGCGUGAGUGAUGAAGGGUUUCGGCUCGUAAAACUCUGUUAUUAGGGAAGAACAAAUGUGUAAGUAACUGUGCACGUCUUGACGGUACCUAAUCAGAAAGCCACGGCUAACUACGUG